AGCAGCCGCGGUAAUUCCAGCUCCAAUAGCGUAUAUUAAAGUUGUUGCAGUUAAAAAGCUCGUAGUUGAAUUUCGGGGUCGGUAGGUUGGUCAUGCCUCUGGUAUGCACUGGUCUCACUGAUUCCUCCUUCCUGAUGAGCCGUAAUGCCAUUAAUUUGGUGUUGCGAGGAAUCUGGACUGUUACUUUGAAAAAAUUAGAGUGUUUAAAGCAAGCUGACGCUUGAAUACAUUAGCAUGGAAUAAUGGAAUAGGGCGUUCGAUCCUAUUUUGUUGGUUUCUAGGAUUGACGUAAUGAUUAAUAGGGAUAGUUGGGGGCAUUAGUAUUCAAUUGUCAGAGGUGAAAUUCUUGGAUUUAUUGAAGACUAACUACUGCGAAAGCAUUUGCCAAGGAUGUUUUCUAUUAAUCAAGAACGAAAGUUAAGGGGAUCGAAGACGAUCAGAUACCGUCGUAGUCUUAACCAUAAACUAUGCCGACUAGGGAUCGGAUGAUGUUAAUUUUUAAUUGUACUCAUUC
RNAcentral lists this ribosomal RNA (514 nucleotides) under uncultured Glomus. Its description in RNAcentral is "SSU rRNA". It matches the Rfam family "Eukaryotic small subunit ribosomal RNA", at positions 569 to 1081 of the family's 1831-position model. Lineage: Eukaryota; Fungi; Glomeromycota; Glomeromycetes; Glomerales; Glomeraceae. The record is from RNAcentral.